This 253-nucleotide ribosomal RNA is filed under the name uncultured bacterium. RNAcentral describes it as "partial 16S ribosomal RNA". It matches the Rfam family "Bacterial small subunit ribosomal RNA", at positions 524 to 776 of the family's 1533-position model. The record is from RNAcentral.
UACGGAGGGGGCUAGCGUUGUUCGGAAUUACUGGGCGUAAGGCGCACGUAGGCGGCUUUGUAAGUUAGAGGUGAAAGCCCAGGGCUUAACCCUGGAAUUGCCUUUAAGACUGCAUCGCUCGAAUUGUGGAGAGGUGAGUGGAAUUCCGAGUGUAGAGGUGAAAUUCGUAGAUAUUCGGAAGAGCACCAGUGGCGAAGGCGACUCACUGGACACAUAUUGACGCUGAGGUGCGAAAGCGUGGGGAGCAAACAGG